This is a long non-coding RNA of Nilaparvata lugens (brown planthopper), 364 nucleotides long. RefSeq lists it as uncharacterized. The transcript is spliced from 3 exons. The record is from RefSeq and is a predicted model, not a curated record. Lineage: Eukaryota; Metazoa; Arthropoda; Insecta; Hemiptera; Delphacidae.
UUUUUUUUUUGUAAUUCCAGGGGCAGAGGCAGAAGUGAAGCUCAGACCGAAGAGUAUAAUGACUCCGAAAAUUCUACGAUAAAUACGGCCUCUGACGCAGAUUUCGUCGCUGAAGAAAGCAAUGUCUGUGACACUUGUCCAGAAAACAAAGACGUUUACGACACUCAUACAGAAAUAAUUGCAGAAGAAAGAAAAAGAACAGAAAGCAGCAUCACCAAAUUAGAAGGUAGACGAAUAGUGGACAUCAAUUCGUUUAUUGUGCAAAUUCAACAAAUCGAUAAAACAUCCGGCCAAAUACCGGAUGUGAAAAUGUAGUUCGCGAACUAUUGUAUGGGGGCGGUAAAAAUUGUUCAGCAAUGGAGUA